This 505-nucleotide ribosomal RNA is filed under the name uncultured bacterium. Its description in RNAcentral is "partial 16S ribosomal RNA". It matches the Rfam family "Bacterial small subunit ribosomal RNA", at positions 28 to 523 of the family's 1533-position model. The record is from RNAcentral.
GAUGAACGCUAGCUACAGGCUUAACACACGCAAGUCGAGGGGUAACGAGAGGAAAGCUUGCUUUCCUUGUCGACGACCGGCGCACGGGUGAGUAACGCGUAUCCAACCUGCCCCCAACUAGGGAAUAACCUUGCGAAAGUAAGACUAAUACCCUAUAAUUUCCUCAGAUGUCAUCUGACGAGGAAUAAAGAUUUAUCGGUUGUGGAUGGGGAUGCGUCUGAUUAGCUUGUUGGCGGGGAAACGGCCCACCAAGGCAACGAUCAGUAGGGGUUCUGGGAGGAAGGACCCCCACAUUGGAACUGAGACACGGUCCAAACUCCUACGGGAGGCAGCAGUGAGGAAUAUUGGUCAAUGGGCGGAAGCCUGAACCAGCCAAGUAGCGUGCAGGAUGACGGCCCUAUGGGUUGUAACUGCUUUUAUACAGGAAUAAAGUUAGCCACGUGUGGUUAUUUGUAGGUACUGUAUGAAUAAGGACCGGCUAAUUCCGUGCCAGCCGCCGCCGUAA